Non-coding RNA from Schistosoma rodhaini, 38 nucleotides. Lineage: Eukaryota; Metazoa; Platyhelminthes; Trematoda; Strigeidida; Schistosomatidae. The record is from Rfam.
UGCUGAGGAGUCCCAUAAUAGGACGAAACGGCCGUCCA